GAGUUUGAUCCUGGCUCAGAACGAACGCUGGCGGCGUGGAUAAGACAUGCAAGUUGAGCGGAACAUUUUGGGUAGCAAUAUUCGGAAUGUUUAGCAGCGAAAGGGUGCGUAACACGUGGAUAAUCUGCCAUAAAGUUUGGAAUAACUCGCUGAAAGGCGAGCUAAUACCGGAUGUGGUUUUUUGGAAGGCAUCUUUUGAAAACUAAAGCUGGGGAUCGUAAGACCUGGCGCUUUAUGAUGAGUCCGCGGCCUAUCAGCUAGUUGGUGAGGUAAAAGCUUACCAAGGCUAAGACGGGUAGCUGGUCUGAGAGGACGACCAGCCACACUGGAACUGAGACACGGUCCAGACACCUACGGGUGGCAGCAGUGGGGAAUAUUGGACAAUGGGCGCAAGCCUGAUCCAGCAAUGCCGCGUGUGUGAAGAAGGCCUCGGUU
RNAcentral lists this ribosomal RNA (435 nucleotides) under uncultured bacterium. RNAcentral describes it as "partial 16S ribosomal RNA". It matches the Rfam family "Bacterial small subunit ribosomal RNA", at positions 9 to 424 of the family's 1533-position model. The record is from RNAcentral.